GUCGUGAGACAGUUCGGUCCCUAUCUGCCGUGGGCGCUGGAGAAUUGAGGGGGGCUGCUCCUAGUACGAGAGGACCGGAGUGGACGCAUCACUGGUGUUCGGGUUGUCAUGCCAAUGGCACUGCCCGGUAGCUAAAUGCGGAAGAGAUAAGUGCUGAAAGCAUCUAAGCACGAAACUUGCCCCGAGAUGAGUUCUCCCUGACUCCUUGAGAGUCCUGAAGGAACGUUGAAGACGACGACGUUGAUAGGCCGGGUGUGUAAGCGCAGCGAUGCGUUGAGCUAACCGGUACUAAUGAACCGUGAGGCUUAACCUUACAACGCCGAAG
This 325-nucleotide ribosomal RNA is filed under the name Escherichia coli. Its description in RNAcentral is "partial 23S ribosomal RNA". It matches the Rfam family "Bacterial large subunit ribosomal RNA", at positions 2618 to 2925 of the family's 2925-position model. Lineage: Bacteria; Pseudomonadati; Pseudomonadota; Gammaproteobacteria; Enterobacterales; Enterobacteriaceae. The record is from RNAcentral.